RNAcentral lists this transfer RNA (67 nucleotides) under Zeugodacus rubellus. RNAcentral's name for it is "tRNA-His". The record is from RNAcentral. RNAcentral also lists the same sequence under 1 other name. Lineage: Eukaryota; Metazoa; Arthropoda; Insecta; Diptera; Tephritidae.
AUUUAAAUAGUUUAUUUAAAAUAUUGAUUUGUGGUGUCAAUGAUAUGAAUUUAUUUCAUUUUAAAUC